CAGUGCCACGGUAAUACGAAGGGUGCAAGCGUUACUCGGAAUUACUGGGCGUAAAGCGUGCGUAGGUGGUGGUUUAAGUCCGUUGUGAAAGCCCUGGGCUCAACCUGGGAAUUGCAGUGGAUACUGGGUCACUAGAGUGUGGUAGAGGAUAGUGGAAUUUCCGGUGUAGCAGUGAAAUGCGUAGAGAUCGGAAGGAACAUCUGUGGCGAAGGCGACUAUCUGGGCCAACACUGACACUGAGGCACGAAAGCGUGGGGAGCAAACAGGAUUAGAUACCCCAGUAGUCCCUGUCUCUUAUACC
RNAcentral lists this ribosomal RNA (301 nucleotides) under uncultured bacterium. RNAcentral describes it as "partial 16S ribosomal RNA". It matches the Rfam family "Bacterial small subunit ribosomal RNA", at positions 509 to 808 of the family's 1533-position model. The record is from RNAcentral.